RNAcentral lists this ribosomal RNA (426 nucleotides) under uncultured bacterium. Its description in RNAcentral is "bacterial SSU rRNA". It matches the Rfam family "Bacterial small subunit ribosomal RNA", at positions 359 to 776 of the family's 1533-position model. The record is from RNAcentral.
GAAUUUUGCGCAAUGGGCGAAAGCCUGACGCAGUAACGCCGUGUGGAGGAUGAAGGCCUUCGGGUUGUAAACUCCUGUCAGGGGGAACGACGAAGAAAGGUUGAUAAAAUCUUUCUUUCAGACGGUACCCCCAAAGGAAGCCCCGGCUAAUGCAGAGCCAGCAGCCACGGUAAUACGGAAGGGGCAAGCGUUGUUCGGAAUCAUUGGGCGUAAAGGGCGCGUAGGUGGUUCUGUAUGUCUACUGUGAAAGCGUACAGCUCAACUGUAUUUUGUCGGUAGAAACUGCAGGACUUGAGGCUGGGAGGGGCUGGUGGAAUUCCCUGUGUAGCGGUGAAAUGCGUAGAGAUGGGGGAGAACACUCGUGGCGAAGGCGGCCAGCUAGACCAGUUCUGACACUGAGGCGCGACAGCGUGGGGAGCAAACAGG